GCUUCCUACGGGAGGCAGCAGUGGGGAAUUUUGGACAAUGGGCGCAAGCCUGAUCCAGCAAUGCCGCGUGAGUGAAGAAGGCCUUCGGGUUGUAAAGCUCUUUUGUCAGGGAAGAAACGGCUGAGGAUAAUACCUUUGGCUAAUGACGGUACCUGAAGAAUAAGCACCGGCUAACUACGUGCCAGCAGCCGCGGUAAUACGUAGGGUGCAAGCGUUAAUCGGAAUUACUGGGCGUAAAGCGUGCGCAGGCGGUUUUGUAAGUCUGACGUGAAAUCCCCGGGCUCAACCUGGGAAUUGCGUUGGAGACUGCAAGGCUGGAGUCUGGCAGAGGGGGGUAGAAUUCCACGUGUAGCAGUGAAAUGCGUAGAGAUGUGGAGGAACACCGAUGGCGAAGGCAGCCCCCUGGGUCAAGACUGACGCUCAUGCACGAAGGCGUGGGGAGCAAACAGGAUUAGAUACCCUGGUAGUCCACGCCCUAAACGAUGUCUACUAGUUGUCGGGUCUUAAUUGACUUGGUAACGCAGCUAACGCGUGAAGUAGACCGCCUGGGGAGUACGGUCGCAAGAUUAAAACUCAAAGGAAUUGACGGAAGC
Molecule: ribosomal RNA, 593 nt
Filed under: uncultured bacterium
Lineage: Bacteria
Description: bacterial SSU rRNA
Rfam family: Bacterial small subunit ribosomal RNA
Source: RNAcentral